AGCGAACGUUAGCGGCGGGCUUAACACAUGCAAGUCGAGCGAGAACGGGGCAACCCUAGUACAGCGGCGGACGGGUGAGUAACACGUAGGUAACUUUCCCUUGAGCGGGGGACAACGGUCCGAAAGGACCGCUAAUACCGCAUACGUUCUUCUGGUCUUAGGGCUGGGAGAGGAAAGCUAGGCUAGCAAUAGUCCGGCACUCAAGGAGAGGCCUGCGUAGCAUCAGCUAGUUGGUGGGGUAAUGGCCUACCAAGGCAAAGACGCUUAGCUGGUCUGAGAGGAUGAUCAGCCACACUGGGACUGAGACACGGCCCAGACUCCUACGGGAGGCAGCAGUGGGGAAUAUUGGACAAUGGGCGCAAGCCUGAUCCAGCCACGCCGCGUGAGUGAUGAAGGCCUUCGGGUCGUAAAGCUCUGUGGGGAGGGACGGAACCGCUUUGGUUAAUAGCCAGAAGCAUGACGGUACCGUCCUUACGUCAAGCACCGGCUAACUUCGUGCCAGCAGCCGCGGUAAUC
Molecule: ribosomal RNA, 516 nt
Filed under: uncultured bacterium
Lineage: Bacteria
Description: bacterial SSU rRNA
Rfam family: Bacterial small subunit ribosomal RNA
Source: RNAcentral